This 440-nucleotide ribosomal RNA is filed under the name uncultured bacterium. Its description in RNAcentral is "partial 16S ribosomal RNA". The record is from RNAcentral.
GACUACUGGGGUAUCUAAGCCUGUUUGCUCCCCACGCUUUCGUGCCUCAGUGUCAGGACAAGCCCAGUGGGCCGUCUUCACCAUCGGCAUUCCAGUAGAUAUCUACGCAUUUCACCGCUCCACCUACUGUUCUGCCCACCCAUACUUGCCUCGAGGCCUGUAGUAUGCCCUGCUGUUCCUCAGUUGAGCUGAGGGCUUUCACAGAACACUUACAGGCCCACCUACGCACCCUUUAAGCCCAGUGAUUCCGACUAACGCUUGUGGCCUCUGUAUUACCGCGACUGCUGGCACAGAGUUAGUCGCCACUUCCUCUGGGGUCGAUCAUUGGUUCCAACCCCUGACAGUGGUUUACACGUCAGAGACGCUUCAUCCCACACGCGGCAUUGCUCCGUCAGGCUUGCGCCCAUUGCGGAAGAUUCCUCACUGCAGCCUCCCGUAGG